UGACGUAAAAUUAAGGGCGUAUGGUGGAUGCCUUGGCAUCAAAUGGCGAUGAAGGACGUGGCGUAGCUGCGAUAAGCUUCGGGGAGGUGCUUAGCAACCUUUGAUCCGGAGAUUUCCGAAUGGGGUAACCUAAUUGCGUAAACCGCAAUUGCUUUGCUUCGUAAGAAGUAAAGAGUAAAUCCGCUGAAGUGAAACAUCUCAGUAAGCGGGAGAAUAGAAAACAACAGUGAUUCCCCAAGUAGCGGCGAGCGAAAAGGGAACAGCCCAAACUUAGAAUAAAAUUAUUGAAAUCCGAAUGUCUGAUUUGAAAUUAAAUUCGAUGAAGUUGUUCGGUAAAUUUGGUAGUGGCAUUUUGAGGGUUGUAAGAUAGAAACUUUUUCAAAUCAUCGAAUAGAGCGCUUUUAUUAGUGCUUUGUUCGUUGAUAUUGAAAGGAAAGUUACAAAAUUGAGCUUUAAUUAAAUCCUCUGGAAAGAGGAACCAUAGAGGGUGAUAGUCCCGUAAAUAAAAAAAUUCAAUCUUUCUAGUUUUUACUGGUGCAAAUCCAGAGUUAUUCAUUUAUGAAUAUCUAUCUUGAGUACUGCGAGGCCAUUUAACCUUGCAGGAAGCAACGAGUACUAAUCUCGUGAGGCUAAAUACAUUUGAUGACCGAUAGUGAACAAGUACCGUGAGGGAAAGGUGAAAAGCAGCCCGGUGAGGGCGAUGAAAUAGUACCUGAAACCAUAUGCUUACAAGGACUCGAAGGCUAAAAGUGCAUAGCACACAGAUUGUUGACAUAUGACAUUUGACAUGUGACCGAGUGGUCAAUUGUUGAUUGUUAAUUGUCAAUUGUUUGCGUGCUGUGCACUGUGGCUAACGUGGUGCCUAUUGAAGAAUGAGCCAACGACUUUCUGGACACAGCAAGGCUAACCCGAUAGAACGGGGCAGCCGUAGGGAAACCGAGUGUUAAUAGCGCGACAAUAAGUUGUUUAUGUAAGACCCGAAGCUAAGCGAGCUUGCCUUGACCAGGAUGAACCCCAACUAAACAUUGGGGGGAGGUCCGAACUAGUGGGUUGUGCAACACCCUUGGAUGAGUUGAGGUAAGUAGUGAAAAGCUAAUCGAGCUUAGUGAUAGCUGGUUCUCUCCGAAACAGUUUUCGGACUGGCGGCAACCCUAAAUUAUAUGGGGGUAGAGCACUGGAUGGUUUGCACAGGUCGAAAGAUCGGCUGACCAAUCAAACUCCGAAUACCAUAUAUCGCGGUUGCUAGUUAGACUGUGGGGGCAAAGCUUCACAGUCGCGAGGGGAAGAGCCCAGAUCGCCGUCUAAGGUCCCUAAAUUUUUGCUAAGUGUAAAAGGUGGUAAUCAACCAUAGACAGAUAGUAGGUUGGCUUAGAGGUAGCCAUCCUUUAAAGAGUGUGUAACAACUCACUAUUCAAUGGUUAGUUGCGCCAAAAAUGUAUCGGGGCUAAAGCAAAAUACCGAAGGCGCGAAUUUACUAUUAUGAUGAUAGUAUCUGGUAGGAGAGCAUUUCUAUCUGCUGUGAAGUCGCACCCGUGAGGGGCGAUGGAGCGUUAGGAAGAGAGAAUGUUGGUAUAAGUAAUCCCAAAUUAUGUGAGAAACAUAAUCCCCGCAAAUCCUAGGUUUCCGUGGCAAUGACAAUCAACCACGGGUUAGGCGAUCCUAAGGUCAUGGCGAAAGCCGCAGCCGAUGGGUAAGCCGGUUAAUAUUCCGGCCCGUCUGAUAUAUUCGAUGGAGGGACGAAGGAAAUAAAUUCACGCGCCUUAAUGGUUUGGCGUCGUUGAUUCUGAGAUUCGAUAUCCAGGCAAAUCCGGGUAUCUGCCUUUAAUGGCGAGCUUCGUGAAUUGAGGUAAGGUAAAAUUUUAUUUUACUAAUGUGAAUGAAGAGCCUUCCGAGAAAAUCUUCUAAGGGUGAGAAAUCACUAAAUAUAUUAGACAUCGUACCGUAAACCGACACAGGUGGGUGAGGCGAGAAGCCUCAGGGGAACGAGUGAGUCUUCGUUAAGGAACUCGGCAAAAAAGCGUCCGUAAGUUCGCAAUAAGGACUGCCCUCUCUUGUGCGUAGCACACAGUUUGUAAGUUUUAAGUUUUAAGUUUGUAAGUUUUCUGACUUAUGAACUUCCAGGCCAACGGCCGGAACUUUUAACUUAUGACUUGCGCGCUACGCGUAAGUUGGGGCCGCAGCUAAAGUAUCUCUGGCAACUGUUUACCAAAAACACAACUCCCUGCCAACACGUAAGUGGAUGUAUAGGGGGUGACACCUGACCGAUGCGAGAAGGUUAACGGUGGGGGUGGUGCGCCGCAAGGCGUAUUGCUCACCGCCCGAAGCCCUCGUCAAUGUCGGCGGUAACUAUAACCGUCCAAAGGUAGCGCAAUUCCUUUUCAGGUAAGUUCUGAAGCGCAUGAAAGGUGUAAUGAUCGGAGAACUGUCUCAACGAAGAGCUCGAUGAAAAUGCGAUUCCAGUGAAGACGCUGGAUACCUGCAGCAAGACGAAAAGACCCCAGGAGCUUUACUGUGUGUUUGCAUUGACUUUAAAGGUUUAAUACGUAGCGUAGUGGUGAGGAUUUGAAGUCUGUCUUUCGGGGCAGAUGGAUCCGACGAUGAAACAGCCAUUUUUAAUUCUUUAAAGCCUAACCGGUCAGGACUCCAGAUUUAUCUGGUAAGCCUGAUUGAGACAGUGCAUGCUGGACAGUUUUAAUGGGGCAUUAUCCUCCUAAAGAGUAAUGGAGGAGUUUAUCAAGGUUGGUUUAGCCCGGAUGGAAAUCGGGCUGGACGCGUAAAGGCAAAAACCAGCUUGACUGCAAGACUUACAAGUCGCGCAGGUGCGAAAGCAGAACUUAGCGACCCGACAAUUCUUUAUAGAAAGGUUGGAGACAACGGCUAAAAGUUACCCUGGGGAUAACAGGCUAGUUUCGUCCGAGAGUCCCUAUCGACGACGAAGCUCGGCACCUCGAUGUCGGCUCAUCCUAGCGCGGGGCUGGAGAAGGUCCCAAGCGUAUGGCUGUUCGCCAUUUAAAAGGAUACGUGAGCUGGGUUCAAACCGUCGUGAGACAGGUUGGUCUCUACCUGCUGUAGGCGUUAGUCUGAACAAGACUUAUAAACACUUGAAGGGAGUCGAUCCUAGUAGGGCCGCGUAGGCCCAUUGCUACUUCACAAAGUAAUUUGUGAUGACAAUUUGGCUAAUAACGGUGGAAUCUUAAUCUCAAUUGGUCCGUUGAUAACUAUAAUAUGCUGUGGUCCAGCAUUUAUGGUACAAUUUACUUGAGGACCAAAAAUUAAUUAAGACAAUACCGUGGGAAGUCGAUCUAAAAUUGAUCUAGCUUAUAUUGCUGGUUUUCUAGAUGGAGACGGCAGCUUAAUGAUUCAAAUCAAAAAGCGCAAAGAUGGAAAGUCUAAAAUAAGAUUUAUGCUGACCAUUUGUUUCUAUCAGGACACUAGGCAUGAGAAAACUUUAUAUUGGAUUCGUGAUGUAUUGGGCAUAGGUUAUAUUUCCAGAAGAAAUGAUGGUAUGACGGAAUUAAGAGUUAAUGGAUUUCUUCGGAUUAGAAAUAUAAUAAAAGAUCUAUUGCCGUAUAUCCGAUUCAAAAAGUAUCAGGCAAGGGCUUUAUAUGAAGCCGCUGGUAUUUUAUCCGAAAAAGUUUUGAGUAAGUUAAAUAAAGUACAACUUAAAAAAUUAGUUGAUCUUAUUUUGGUGAUACAAAAUAAAAAUUAUGUCACUAAAAAGAAGAAAACAAAAAAUGAGCUGUAUAAAAUUUUAGAUUUGACCCCGUAACGACUUGAAGUUCGAUAAGUAUCGAACUCGGAAUGGAAAAAUGCGACGUUUAUUUUUCUAUUAAUACGCCAAUACCCGAAUUCGCCAGCUGGCGAAAGGGUAAAGAUAUAGUCUGCACCACUAGUGAUAGUGGAAAUAUGUGACGAGAGGACCGGAUUGAACGAGCCACUGGUCUAUCAGCUUUGAUACCAAUUGAAAUGCUGAGUAGCUAUCGCUCGGAAGGGAUAAGCGCUGAAAGCAUCUAAGCACGAAGCCUACCCUAAGACAAUGUGUUAGGUCCGUAGAAGACUACUACGUCGAUAGGUCACAGAUGUAAGUGCCGUAAGGCAUUCAGUCGAGUGAUACUAAUAGACCGAUUUUCUUUUAUA
Molecule: ribosomal RNA, 4137 nt
Filed under: bacterium
Lineage: Bacteria
Description: 23S ribosomal RNA
Rfam family: Bacterial large subunit ribosomal RNA (bases 1-3152)
Source: RNAcentral